Molecule: non-coding RNA, 345 nt
Organism: Neoarius graeffei (lesser salmon catfish)
Lineage: Eukaryota; Metazoa; Chordata; Actinopteri; Siluriformes; Ariidae
Source: the annotation of a RefSeq genome assembly
AUGAGCAGCACAGUCAAUCUCCAACAGCGUUCAGGUUUAGCGCUCAUACAGGUCCAGCAGGACCCAGAGAACGUGGUUCUUUCAAAUGGAUCAUCACUAAGUGUCUCCUGCUUCAUCAGUGGUACUGAUGACCCAUAUCUUUACUGGUACCGCUGGACUCCUGCAGAAGGGUUCACACUGGUAUUCUACUCUAUAAGUGCUGGUUCAGUGGAUCCAUCCAGUGACGGUCAAUUUAAAUCUCAUAGACCCGAUCGGCUUCAUAUUGUUCUGGAGUCUGAAGGCGUGAGUGAAAUUGGUUCUGUAGUGUGGUACUGUGCAGCCAGUCCCCACAGCAUUCCAGCAUAA